UUUCAGUCCGUGCCGGUGUGCGCGCACGAGGGCGCAGCGGGCUGUGGUCCCGCACGAGGAAUCGAGCGUGUCGUGUCGUCGGGGGCUCGCUGUGAAAUGAAGCUCCACGUGACGCGAGGGGCUUCGGAGAGCUGCGUCCUCGUGCUGGCUCAGGCGCCCUGUGUCUGUGAUGGUCUUCAUCCUGUCUUGGCUUCGGUCCGGCGCUAAUCCCCCGGUGCUCUCAGGCGGGAGGUUGAUGUUGUACUCAAUCAGCUGUGUGUUGGUGCUCCAGGUCUCUGUUGUACUUAUCGCUGACGAGCAGCCGGCUCCUCCCUCCUGCUGCUGCUGCUGCUGCUGCCGCCGCCACCGUCUAAUAGGAGGGAGAGAGACCAAUAGAGAGAACGAGAGGGAGAGAACAACGAGUUCCGUGCACCCUGUGUUAGAGGAAGCCAUCAUGGACCUCCUCGCCGUCUGCUCCCGCCCCGACUGACAACAUGUUAAAGUCAAUCUAUUCAUUCUGUGACGGCAGCCAAUAAAUCAACUGUUGUCCCAUGA
Long non-coding RNA from Paralichthys olivaceus (Japanese flounder), 534 nucleotides. RefSeq lists it as uncharacterized. Lineage: Eukaryota; Metazoa; Chordata; Actinopteri; Pleuronectiformes; Paralichthyidae. The record is from RefSeq and is a predicted model, not a curated record.